This 565-nucleotide ribosomal RNA is filed under the name uncultured bacterium. Its description in RNAcentral is "partial 16S ribosomal RNA". It matches the Rfam family "Bacterial small subunit ribosomal RNA", at positions 355 to 1376 of the family's 1533-position model. The record is from RNAcentral.
UGGGGAAUCUUGGACAAUGGGGGCAACCCUGAUCCAGCCAUGCCGCGUGGGUGAUGAAGGCCUUAGGGUCGUAAAGCCCUUUCGCCGGGGAAGAUAAUGACGGUACCCGGUAAAGAAGCCCCGGCUAACUCCGUGCCAGCAGCCGCGGUAAUACGGAGGGGGCUAGCGUUGUUCGGAAUGACUGGGCGUAAAGCGCGCGUAGGCGGAUCAGAAAGUUGGGGGUGAAAUCCCGGGGCUCAACCUCGGAAUGGCCUUCAAGACUCCUGGUCUUGAGUUCGAGAGAGGUGAGUGGAAUUCCGAGUGUAGAGGUGAAAUUCGUAGGUAUUCGGAGGAACACCAGUGGCGAAGGCGGCUCACUGGCUCGACACUGACGCUGAGGUGCGAAAGCGUGGGGGAGCAAACAGGAUUAGAUACCCUAGUAGUCCACGCCGUAAAACGAUGAAUGCCAGACGUCGGGGGGCUUGCCCUUCGGUGUCACACCUAACGGAUCAAGGCAUUCCGCCUGGGGGAGUACGGUCGCAAGAUUAAAACUUAAAUGAAUUGACGGGGUCAUAGCUGUUUCCUG